CAUGGUGAGAGGAGUCUCGUGAACACAAGCUUCUGUAGUCGGGCCGAACAUUGAAGACGGCCUUGUCUCCCCAGGAAGCAGCUGUGCCUGUCCUGCGUUCCUCCCCUCUCCGAACAAUGCGCGCUGCCGCCAGGCGACUCGUUGACGCCGUGCUGGUCCGGCGGUCUCACUCCCUUCCUGCCUCUCAUCAUCAUUGCUGUAUAAGGUCCCUCCGUCACGCAGCCACCACACCACGAAGCUCUCCCACCCUGCCAGCUGCUUCUCUCCUUCCCUCCUGGUCUGCCAAUCAAUCAAGAGGAGCCAAAGUGUUGGGCACCGACAUAAGGCUUGGGAACAUUAUACAAAGGAAAGGCCGGAUCUAUCAGGUUCUUAAGGCGCAACAUACUCAACAUGGUAGAGGAGGGGCGACAAUACAAGUUGAGCUUCGAGAUGUUGAUAGUGGAAAUAAAGUGACUGAAAGAUUUCGUACUGAUGAAGCCAUUGAGAGAGUUUUUGUUGAAGAAAAGUCAUUUACAUUUUUGUAUCAAGAAGGUGAAUCUGUAAUGAUAAUGGAGCCUUCGACAUUUGAGCAGUUGGAAGUCUCUAAGGAACUGUUUGGAAAGGGAGUUGCCUAUCUGAAAGGAAGAACGCAUCCUUCACGGUCGCAAGUUUCUCCUCCUUGGUGUAGACAGCAUGUGCUGAAGCCAUUUUGGCAGUGGAGUGGAAGAAACAAACAAAGGAAGUCGAAAUAUGGCUUGGACAUGAGAUUCUUACUUCCAAUGCCUCCAUGAUUCCUAAUCACGGUAUCCUCAUCUAUGUGAUAACUAUUAGAGUGAGAAACAUCAAUAUGAUUGGUACGGUCAUCAACUAUGCUGGAGUAGAUGAAGAUCAUGUGACUAUAUUCCAUAACGACGAAGACUACCUGCUGCCAGAAUUGAAGGCUAUUGAUGCUUGUAUUGGGAGGAUUAACUAUACUGGUGUGAAUAUAACUGUCAUUGGCAACAAUGAGGUCUGGAAGAAUGUCCUGAGACGAGAGUUUAGUGAAGACAACAGUCGUCUUAAUCUAGUGCCGACUCUGAUGUGGGUGACAACUGCUUAUCUGUGCUUCAUGAAUUCCUGUCUAUCCAUGUUGUGGACAGAAUCAUUCGUCAUUGUAAGGAGCUGUAAUGUGUAUCCUGUCGUCCCCAUUUUGUGUGAUGCCCAUUAUUAAUAAAGGUUGGAAGGCCUAACCUUCUGCAAGCUUGCAUUGGAAAAGCUGGCUUCUUCUCAUAAGGUAGCUAACCUGGCCUAAUCUUCAUCAGUUGUCGUGGAAGAUCGCUCAGUCUUUUACCGCAAGUGUAUUUGUUGCCCAGCUCACAAGUUUGCAGAGCAGUAGAAGCAUGAAAGAGAACAUAGAAAAUAGAGAAUGCAAAUAGUGAAACCAGCAGAAUUAAACAGAGAGCAGAAGGAAUGCAUUCAACUUACAUUAAACAGAAAGUUGAUUACAGAAUGUGUGUUCAUGAAAGCUCACAUGUAAACUCAUUAGGGGUGCUUGAGAGCUUUUAAAACCAGACUGGGCAACAAGAUAAUAUGACAGUCACAUUACAAUUUUAUGAUGGAAAGCCAAUGUCUGCAUCAGUUCCUCAGCGGGUUACUUGCACAGUAGUUGAAGCACAACCUGUUGCAAAAGGACAAACUGCCUCUCCACAGUAUAA
Molecule: RNA transcript, 1673 nt
Organism: Nymphaea colorata (pocket water lily)
Lineage: Eukaryota; Viridiplantae; Streptophyta; Magnoliopsida; Nymphaeales; Nymphaeaceae
Exons: 10
Source: RefSeq, a predicted model, not a curated record